RNAcentral lists this long non-coding RNA (632 nucleotides) under Helianthus annuus (common sunflower). Its description in RNAcentral is "hypothetical non coding rna". Lineage: Eukaryota; Viridiplantae; Streptophyta; Magnoliopsida; Asterales; Asteraceae. The record is from RNAcentral.
UUGUGUAAACAGAACCAAGGAAACAAAAAAUCCUUUUUCUUUUCAUGAAAAAAUGAUCAUAGGUUAGAAUGAGCGGUUUGAAUACAUAGAGGGCGGAUCUUGAUUUAUUGUUGAUAUUCGUGGGGUUUUGAGGUAUGGGUUUUGAGAACAUCAAGACUGGAUCUUCUAUUCUUAAACCAAACGCAUCAUGAGAUUGGCGGAUGUUUAGAAACCGUGUACGAUGUUUAGCAGAUCAGAUGAAGCGAGAUCGGUGCAUACAGUGAACCGAUCGGCCAUAGAUUCCGGUAAAGUGAUCGGAAAUGAAUCCGAGUUUGAAAUUAUACGAAGCGAAUGAGCACAGAUCGAUACUAAAGCUUCCGGUGUUAGAUCUUGAACGGAGGAAACUUCCGGCGGGAUCGGAACUCCGGCUUUUGAAAGUGAGUUUAAUAAUAUCUCGUGUGAUUCUUCCAUUGAUCUCUCACCACGAUUACUCACACUCACACUCAUGGAGUCAUCUUGUUUCCAUCAUCACUCGAGAUGUUACCGCGAUAGAUUUAUCGGAUACGACGUCGUUUGCGGAUAAUGGUAGUUGGUCAGAAUGUGGCACCAAGGUUGUGUUACAACAACAAAUUCUCAAGUCUUUCUGAAUAUAA